UCCAUUUUUCAAUUUCUUCACCAGUUGUCACCGCCGUCGUCCACCACCAUCACUGUCGCCGUAACAACCGUCACACAAUGAAGUAACUAUUAGUUUUUUCUUUGCUAACAAAAAUGAGUUAUUGUGUUAGCAGUAGCAACAACAAACUACUACCUCCAACUAUAUCCAAUUCUUCACAACAAAGUGAAGAAGAAACAGUUAAAGAAUGGUGAUAUUGACAAAGUGGAUGCUAA
RNAcentral lists this long non-coding RNA (233 nucleotides) under Capsicum annuum. Its description in RNAcentral is "long non-coding RNA (CANN_LNC002476)". The record is from RNAcentral. Lineage: Eukaryota; Viridiplantae; Streptophyta; Magnoliopsida; Solanales; Solanaceae.